UUUGGCACUUCCAUCUCCCAGGAUCACGACUUUGUCUCUCGGUGGAGCAGUGGCUCCUGGCUGAGCCAUCGUAGGAAGAAAAUAUCCUGCAAAACAAGCAGAGAUGAUAUAGGUGUAGGGGAUGCCUUGAGCCUCAAUUGCUCUGCGGAUUUUAGCUUUUUCGGCAAAGUUAGUUUUUGCAGGCUCCACGACAUUUGUACGAUCCACAUCAUUUCCGAACUCUGAGGGAAUGAAUCUCUGUAAUCAUGAGCGAAAGCAAGGCACAUCAAAAAAAAUAAUUCAGGAGUGGAUUAGAAAAUAUUGGGAAAUAUAGGCGAACCUUGACGUUUCCAGCUUCUUUAAUAGCAUCAAGAAUCUUGGAUUGAUCAAGUAUCUGUCCGAAAGUCACCGCUGAGAUGACCACGUCCACUUGCUUAAUGGCCUUUACUAAACUCUCAUGAUCAUGGAGAUCUCCCUGCACAUACCAAAUGAAAUUCAACUAUAUACAAAUAAACAUGUUCAUUUGUGGACAGUCGAUUUUAACAUAAAUUGGCCUUACAUAGACGACUGUAACUCCGGAGGCUUUAAAGCUCUCAAUGAGCUUUCCUUUGACAGGGUCUGAAACUGCACUUUCUCUCACCAAGGCAAACGUCUGAUGGCCUUGUUUUGCAGCGGCUUCCACCAGGAAUUUGCCAAUGUAUCCGGUAGAUCCGAUGACUAAGAUCUUGCUUUUCUCUGCCAUGAUCUCUAUGUUUGAUUUAUGUGUAUACUUAGCUCCUAUAUAGUUUGAAGGUGCUUAGAAAGUUUUAUAGUCUUGGUUCGGAGAAGCAACUUAUCUAUUAUAUAGAUCAAGAUCAAAUGUCGAUGAUCUAGGUAAUGACAUCACUUAAAGCUAAUUGUCAACGUUAGUAUUUUAAAUGUACGGUAGCAUGUGAAUUCUUAUUAAGGACGAGCAUUGAGCAAUAUGGAUCGAAUCGAUUGACCAUAUUGGCAUACUGCUAAAAUCAAAGCGAAUAACAAAUUCACAAGUUCAUGACGAGGCUUCGCAGUAGCAAAACUAUGCCUGCAGUUGACUCAGGGUAAAAUUUAACCCAGUCGGUUGCUUUUAGUUGCAGCUUUUCUAUUUAAAUAUCCUGGCUUCAAGUCCAAUUAACGCUCAAGUCCGAUGUUAUAAAAGGUGAAGAGAAGACCUGAUUGAUGGAGGUAGGGUUUAAAGAAUAAUAAUAUACAUCUCUUCUACAUAUUCAUUUUUGAAUCAAAUUGAAAAUUUUGUUUUAACAAAAUAUAAUAAAUACAUAUAAAUUUAAAUAUAAUCAUCAAUCUGGACAUAUUCUAACACAUAAAAAUAAAAUCAACAAAUAUUUAUUUGAAAGAUGAAAAGAAAAAUGUUAAUUUCAUAGGCCAGAUAUGAUUUUAGCUUCCUCCCGAAACAAAAGUUCUCAAAAUGAUGAUCUUAACAAGUCGUGCGCUCUUGUUUAGUUCCUUCUCGUCCCAUUCACAUGUUAUCCCCAAAUGUUACAAUUACAUGAUAUCGAUCAAGUCUAAAAAUUCCUCAACUCAAAACGGGAAGCCAGCAGAAUUAUGAAAUUAUAGUGAUAUGAAACAUACAAGGAACUAGUGAUAGAACGUUUCCGAUAUCAAUAUUUAGUCAAUUAUAAACUGAUCAAACCAGUGUACAAACACAAGCCAACACUAUAGGGGCUGUUUGGGAAAAUUUAAAAAAAUGAUUCAUUGCUUAAAGUAAAGAAGUGUGUUACAAGUGAAAAUUAAAUAACUUAAUAAAGUGUUUGGAAAAUAAACAGAAAUUUUGAGAGAGAAGCGUGCUUCUCCUUAUUUACACAAACGGAUCAAGAAAAAUAGAAACCAGAAACAGCUUAUGCUUAUUCAAUACAAACAGACCCUAUGUAUGGGAUUAAUGUCAUACAAAAAGUCCAAACAACAUCAAACAUAAAAAAUGAUCAUCAUAUAAAGAUAAAUAGCCGGCCUUUAGGUAUUGAUUAGUGACUACCAAGUACAAAGCGCACCAUUUAUUUAUUUUGCUAAGAAAUAUUACAAGUAGACUAUCACAGUCUUAUGAAUGAAGCUCAAACAAACUGAUGGAGGUAUUCGUCAACGGUUGUGUACUUGACAUCAGGGUAAAGCUGAGAAGCCUCGUGUCCGAAUGAAGCCUCUAUCUGGAAAUUGGUUUGAUCUCCCUUGAUAAAUACCGCAUGGCUGAUUGCAGACAUAAAAUCCAUCGGUGGCGGUGUCCCUGAAAAUAACAUAAAAAAAUCACACAAAUUCAGAUCAUGUUUUCCGAUGCACUGAUAAUUUUGGUAGUAGUUUGAUCCAAGGUCCAGCUCUGUCAUGUCAUGUUAUUUCAAGAUGCUACUCACCUCCAAUUUGCUUUAAAACAUGCUCCUCUGGAACAUAAGUCUUUUCAAGAACCUUGUCGAUCUUCUUCUCCCACAAGGCAACUAGAUCAUUAAAGGAGUAGAUAUUGUGAGGAGGCUUGAUGUAGAGGCUCUUGUUCACUGUUCUUGGGUCGUCCACUGUUUUAAUGACGUACGUGGCAACAUCUUGUUCCAAGUUAAACACGGCUACAAUCCAGAAGAAACGAAAUUAUAGUCUUGCCUACAAUAUGUAGCUACAUUAAUUAGUUGCUCAUAAUGAAAAGAAGUGACAGAGACGAUACCUUUUGCAGUUCCAUCUCCCAGGAUAACGACUUUGUCUCUUGGUGGAGCAGUGGCUCCUGGCUGAGCCAUGGUAGGAAGAAAAAUUCCUGCAAAACAAGCAGAGAUGAUAUAGGUGUAGGGGAUGCCUUGAGCCUCAAUUGCUCUGCGGAUUUUAGCUUUCUCCGCGAAGUUAGUUUUUGCUGGCUCCACAGGAUUUGUACGAUCCACAUCAUUUCCGAAUUCAGAGGGAAUG
This 2886-nucleotide long non-coding RNA is filed under the name Daucus carota (carrot). RNAcentral's name for it is "long non-coding RNA (DCAR_LNC003073)". The record is from RNAcentral. Lineage: Eukaryota; Viridiplantae; Streptophyta; Magnoliopsida; Apiales; Apiaceae.